RNAcentral lists this ribosomal RNA (520 nucleotides) under uncultured bacterium. RNAcentral's name for it is "bacterial SSU rRNA". It matches the Rfam family "Bacterial small subunit ribosomal RNA", at positions 120 to 674 of the family's 1533-position model. The record is from RNAcentral.
GGGGACAUACCCUUUUCUACGGAAUAGCUCUGGGAAACUGGAAUUAAUACCGUAUACGCCCUACGGGGGAAAGAUUUAUCGGGGAAGGAUUGGCCCGCGUUGGAUUAGCUAGUUGGUGGGGUAAAGGCCUACCAAGGCGACGAUCCAUAGCUGGUCUGAGAGGAUGAUCAGCCACAUUGGGACUGAGACACGGCCCAAACUCCUACGGGAGGCAGCAGUGGGGAAUAUUGGACAAUGGGCGCAAGCCUGAUCCAGCCAUGCCGCGUGAGUGAUGAAGGCCUUAGGGUUGUAAAGCUCUUUCACCGAUGAAGAUAAUGACGGUAGUCGGAGAAGAAGCCCCGGCUAACUUCGUGCCAGCAGCCGCGGUAAUACGAAGGGGGCUAGCGUUGUUCGGAAUUACUGGGCGUAAAGCGCACGUAGGCGGAUAUUUAAGUCAGGGGUGAAAUCCCAGAGCUCAACUCUGGAACUGCCUUUGAUACUGGGUAUCUUGAGUAUGGAAGAGGUAAGUGGAAUUGCGAGU